This 468-nucleotide ribosomal RNA is filed under the name uncultured bacterium. Its description in RNAcentral is "partial 16S ribosomal RNA". It matches the Rfam family "Bacterial small subunit ribosomal RNA", at positions 28 to 507 of the family's 1533-position model. The record is from RNAcentral.
GACGAACGCUGGCGGCGUGCUUAACACAUGCAAGUCGAACGGAAAGGCCCUGCUUUUGUGGGGUGCUCGAGUGGCGAACGGGUGAGUAACACGUGAGUAACCUGCCCUUGACUUUGGGAUAACUUCAGGAAACUGGGGCUAACACCGGAUAGGAGCUCCUGCUGCAUGGUGGGGGUUGGAAAGUUUCGGCGGUUGGGGAUGGACUCGCGGCUUAUCAGCUUGUUGGUGGGGUAGUGGCUUACCAAGGCUUUGACGGGUAGCCGGCCUGAGAGGGUGACCGGCCACAUUGGGACUGAGAUACGGCCCAGACUCCUACGGGGGGCAGCAGUGGGGAAUAUUGCACAAUGGGCGGAAGCCUGAUGCAGCAACGCCGCGUGCGGGAUGACGGCCUUCGGGUUGUAAACCGCUUUCGCCUGUGACGAAGCGUGAGUGACGGUAAUGGGUAAAGAAGCACCGGCUAACUACGUG